AUAACGUGGGUGUCGCAAAAAGGUCAAACAUCAUUUGCGUGUUCCUUUGGGUUUAGUAGCUGGGCAAUACAGAUAUGCUUAGAAAUGCAAGUGCCACGGAUGGAAUGCUUAUACAUUCUUUAUUUACACAAGUUUUGCAUACGACACAACUCAAGUAGCUUGGUCUUUGAGGUGCCGUCCUGCAUAUGCAAUUGGUCGUCAGUUUACCUGCAGAUGUCCAUGCCUCGUGCUCUGCCUAGCAAUUCUCUGCUGUUGUAUGUUUAACUGACGUUUUUGUUUUGCAAUUUUCUACUAUAUAUGUUUGCUAGAUAGUUCUUUCUUUCGUUCUUUUUUUAGGUUUAUGUUUGUCCUCCAUCUAAGCAUAAUUGCCUGUGCAGGUUCUGCUAUAUUGUCCUGCAUCCUGCCAGCCCUCAUCUAAGAGCUAGUUUGGAAACCCUGUUUUCCCAAGAGAUUUUCAUUUUCCCUAACGCCCCGUUUGGAUCACUGGAAUUGAAUUCCAUUCUAAUAAUAGUAAUUUAGACAUAUAUCAAUUAAGCUAAUUCACUUUUAUAUGGAAUGCUUAUACAUUCUUUAUUUACACAAGAUUUGCAUACGACACAACUCAAGUAACUUGGUCUUUGAGGUGCCGUCCUGCAGAUGCAAUUGGUCGUCAGUUUACCUGCAGAUGUCCAUGCCUCGUGCUCUGCCUAGCAAUCUCUGCUGUUGUUUGUUUAACUGACGUUUUUGUUUUGCAAUUUUCUACUAUAUAUGUUUGCUAGAUAGUUCUUUCUUUCGUUCUUUUUUUAGGUUUAUGUUUGUCCUCCAUAUAAGCAUAAUUGCCUGUGCAGGUUCUGCUAUGUUGUCCUGCAUCCUGCCAGCCCUCAUCUAAAUAAAGAGUUUGCCGAGUGUUUUCUUGCCUAGCGGUUUUUUGGGCUUUGCCACGCGGCAAAGCAGCUAUCUCCUGUAGUGUGUAGAUAACAACUGCCACAUGUGCAUGUACAACCUUACACAAGUAUGUACACAAGUGUCAGGCUUUUUCCCAGCGUGUGGCUACAGGUAUACCAAAUGAAGACCUGCACAUGACUUUAUAGCAAAGGGGGAGAAAGCACCUGUACUUCAAAAUUUUCGCCCGGUAAUACACUAAAAAAAGAACAGCUAUGAAUAUUAUCAUGGAGACAUGGAAGUAAAGGCACAAGGACACAAGUGACCUGAUGAAAGCUGGGAGAGGGUAAACAGCAGCGUUGCAGAAAGUAUGGCCACAUUCAACCAACAGCGAUGGACCUGACAGUUUCCACGAGACUAGCAAAUGUUGAAGCAAGGCAGCAGAUCUGCAAGCCACUUCUGUAAUAACUUCUGCCAUUCAAAAUCAAAAAGCAGUGGCUGCAACAAGGAAAGCUCCAUUUCAAUCACGUGGUGCAGACGACAUGUUCCAUAUGCAAGAGCACUGAACUGUUAUCUGCACGGUUUUAACAAAUAGCGCUCCAUUUCAGAUGGAUGCAGGCCACCCAUCUGAAUUAUUAACAUCUUGACAACAUACAAACUGCUACUGGUUUCUUGGAAAGGUUACACAUGCAAAUUCAGUGGUCGCAAACCCAUUUCAGGGAACAAAGUGAAGUGCAAACCAAGGUUUUAGCACAGAACUCAGAUCAUCCAGCUUCAAAAGCACUGUACACACAGAGAGACUUUGUUCUGAGAAGCGAGUACAAUUGACACAGCCAUCUGGGCUCUUAAUACCAUCACACGACAGGAAAACGGUGCAACUUGAUUCUUACAACACCGUGACGAUCUUUGCAGGGGAAGUACUGUCCAGUGGGACAGAAUCAGCCCAUUGCGUACUUCUGGG
Zea mays is the source of this 1822-nucleotide long non-coding RNA. RefSeq lists it as uncharacterized. The record is from RefSeq and is a predicted model, not a curated record. NCBI's taxonomy places the organism in Eukaryota, Viridiplantae, Streptophyta, Magnoliopsida, Poales, Poaceae. The transcript is spliced from 2 exons.